This is a long non-coding RNA of Ochotona curzoniae (black-lipped pika), 103 nucleotides long. RefSeq lists it as uncharacterized. NCBI's taxonomy places the organism in Eukaryota, Metazoa, Chordata, Mammalia, Lagomorpha, Ochotonidae. The transcript has 4 exons. The record is from RefSeq and is a predicted model, not a curated record.
UCUGUCCUCUGUUGUGACACGGGGUGUCCUCUGAAAGCUCCAGCGUACUGCCAAAUCCUGCAUGUUUUUCUGGAUAUGCUGUGCACUGCUCUGUCUAAACCAC